GAUGAACGCUGGCGGCGUGCUUAACACAUGCAAGUCGAACGAUGAAGCCCAGCUUGCUGGGUGGAUUAGUGGCGAACGGGUGAGUAACACGUGAGUAACCUGCCCUUAACUCUGGGAUAAGCCUGGGAAACUGGGUCUAAUACCGGAUAGGAGCGUCCACCGCAUGGUGGGUGUUGGAAAGAUUUACCGGUUUUGGAUGGACUCGCGGCCUAUCAGCUUGUUGGUGAGGUAAUGGCUCACCAAGGCGACGACGGGUAGCCGGCCUGAGAGGGUGACCGGCCACACUGGGACUGAGACACGGCCCAGACUCCUACGGGAGGCAGCAGUGGGGAAUAUUGCACAAUGGGCGCAAGCCUGAUGCAGCGACGCCGCGUGAGGGAUGACGGCCUUCGGGUUGUAAACCGCUUUCAGUAGGGAAGAAGCGAAAGUGACGGUACCUGCAGAAGAAGCACCGGCUAACUACGUG
This 466-nucleotide ribosomal RNA is filed under the name uncultured bacterium. Its description in RNAcentral is "partial 16S ribosomal RNA". It matches the Rfam family "Bacterial small subunit ribosomal RNA", at positions 28 to 507 of the family's 1533-position model. The record is from RNAcentral.